AGAAGACCUCUUGGUUGCCAGGCCCAGCCUCCUAUUUGGAACAAGCUAAUGACAAUGGCACACAGUUGUUGUUAUGUGCCUUCAAGUAGACCACCACUUUUGAUGACCCUGUGAAUCAGCAACCUCCGACAUCAUCUGUCAUGAACCACCCUGUUCAGAUCUUUCCAUGGUAUGUGCAAAGCUCUCCUACAGUAGUGAUUCCAAAAGAAGACCGCAGCAGUGCCUUGGGAACUUAAGCCACCAUGUUGAAGCAGUGACGGAGACCAGAUCUGGAAGGGCCACCUGCUGCAGCUGCUUGCAAAAGCUGAGAAGGUUCAUCAGCAGGUGUCACAAAGAAAUCCAGCCAGACCAGAGGAGCUGGCACUUCAUUUCAGUGGCUUCGCUGGGCAGAAUUCAGCUCAAAUAUCAAACUAUAAUCACAUCUCUUCCCCACCAGUGGUCUCUCCUGCCAGAAGAUUUUUAUGUUACAUGCAAAGGUUUCCACAUAAAAUAUUGGAAACAAAUGUUAUUGUGGUUUUGUGUGUGUGUAUGUUUUACGCAGGAUGGGGAGGGGGUGAAUACAAAGAAGAGAGGAGGUAAAGAAAGAUCCCUUUUCUCCAUGUAUUUUAUCUCCAUUAAAUAUCAUGUCAGGCUCUAAUAAAAGAGGCUUUAUUUUUGGAACAGAGUAGAUGACUCCAUGUCCUAUAAAAUGCUUAAAAUGCAAAGAGCGUGGAAUGGGUUUGAGUUGUACAAGUGGCACUCUGGAUUUCCUUCUAGGGCUGGCCAAAGAGAGAAGAUUUCAACUAUAAAAACUAUAAAGCAUUUAAAACAUUACUGUACUGUAUUAGUCCAGGAGUAGCCAGAGCGAUGAUACCCCCCACCCAGGUGUUACUGGAUGGCAAUUCCAGCCCCAAUCAGUAUGGCCAAUGGUCAGGGAUGACAGGAGUUGUAGCCCAACAACAUCUGGAUGGCGCAAUGUUGGCUACCCCUGCAGUAGGCCAACAGAUGGAUCUUCUCUCUCUUAACAUCUGCAUUUGCAAUGCGAGAUCUGUGCAGGAGAUUGGCAGUUGACAAAGGUGCACAGGUUUUCAGUCAUCU
This is a long non-coding RNA of Rhineura floridana, 1077 nucleotides long. RefSeq lists it as uncharacterized. The transcript has 4 exons. The record is from RefSeq and is a predicted model, not a curated record. NCBI's taxonomy places the organism in Eukaryota, Metazoa, Chordata, Lepidosauria, Squamata, Rhineuridae.